UUUAUCGGAGAGUUUGAUCCUGGCUCAGGACGAACGCUGGCGGCGUGCCUAAUACAUGCAAGUCGAGCGGACAGAUGGGAGCUUGCUCCCUGAUGUUAGCGGCGGACGGGUGAGUAACACGUGGGUAACCUGCCUGUAAGACUGGGAUAACUCCGGGAAACCGGGGCUAAUACCGGAUGCUUGUUUGAACCGCAUGGUUCAGACAUAAAAGGUGGCUUCGGCUACCACUUACAGAUGGACCCGCGGCGCAUUAGCUAGUUGGUGAGGUAACGGCUCACCAAGGCGACGAUGCGUAGCCGACCUGAGAGGGUGAUCGGCCACACUGGGACUGAGACACGGCCCAGACUCCUACGGGAGGCAGCAGUAGGG
This 369-nucleotide ribosomal RNA is filed under the name Bacillus amyloliquefaciens. Its description in RNAcentral is "bacterial SSU rRNA". It matches the Rfam family "Bacterial small subunit ribosomal RNA", at positions 1 to 359 of the family's 1533-position model. Lineage: Bacteria; Bacillati; Bacillota; Bacilli; Caryophanales; Bacillaceae. The record is from RNAcentral.